CUCCAUGCUCCAUUUGUGCCUCCCCUUCGCAUCUCCAUCUCCAAUUUGUGACCCAUCUUCUUCCUCAACCAAAAGGGGCAAAAUCACCAUUGAUGAAGCUUGAAGACCNAAGGAGGAGUGGGAGAGCUUCCCAACACCCCAAAUAGCCUCCAAGGGCUUCUCCCAAUCUCUCUAGGUGAAGAAUGAAGUGUAGGAGGAGAAGAAUCCCCAAAAAAUCGCGAGGCCCAUGUUUAAAUAACCCAUUUUGACACAUCAGCCUCGUCACUCCAACUGCAGCAUUCCAGAGAGCAGGGCGCUCAACUGCACCCCACCUGCACCCCAGCGGCAAAUUUCCAGUAACAGAGCG
Molecule: long non-coding RNA, 346 nt
Filed under: Vigna radiata
Lineage: Eukaryota; Viridiplantae; Streptophyta; Magnoliopsida; Fabales; Fabaceae
Description: long non-coding RNA (VRAD_LNC015236)
Source: RNAcentral